RNAcentral lists this ribosomal RNA (303 nucleotides) under uncultured Sphingomonadaceae bacterium. RNAcentral describes it as "bacterial SSU rRNA". It matches the Rfam family "Bacterial small subunit ribosomal RNA", at positions 108 to 428 of the family's 1533-position model. Lineage: Bacteria; Pseudomonadati; Pseudomonadota; Alphaproteobacteria; Sphingomonadales; Sphingomonadaceae. The record is from RNAcentral.
GCGUAACGCGUGGGAAUCUGCCCUGGAGUGGGGGAUAACCGAGAGAAAUUUCGGCUAAUACCGCAUACGACCUGAGGGUGAAAGAUUUAUCGCUCUUGGAGGGGCCCGCGUCGGAUUAGCUAGUUGGUGGGGUAAUGGCCUACCAAGGCAACGAUCCGUAGCUGGUCUGAGAGGAUGAUCAGCCACACUGGGACUGAGACACGGCCCAGACUCCUACGGGAGGCAGCAGUGGGGAAUAUUGGACAAUGGGGGCAACCCUGAUCCAGCAAUGCCGCGUGAGUGAUGAAGGCCUUAGGGUUGUAA